UUGAGAGUUUGAUCCUGGCUCAGAACGAACGCUGGCGGCAGGUCUUAGGCAUGCAAGUCGAACGGAUGACAAGAGAGCUUGCUCUCUUGAAGUCAGUGGCGCACGAGUGAGUAACGCGUGGGAAACUGCCCUUCACUGGGGAAUAACGUCUGGAAACGGACGCUAAUACCGCAUACGCCCGCAAGGGGAAAGAUUUAUCGGUGAUGGAUGUGCCCGCGUUGGAUUAGCUUGUUGGUGGGGUAAUGGCCUACCAAGGCGAUGAUCCAUAGCUGGUCUGAGAGGACGAUCAGCCACGCUGGAACUGAGACACGGUCCAGACUCCUACGGGAGGCAGCAGCUAAGAAUAUUGGGCAAUGGAGGAAACUCUGACCCAGCCAUGCCGCGUGAAUGAAGAAGGCCUUCGGGUUGUAAAGUUCUUUUAGUCAUGAAGAUGAUGACAGUAGUGACAGAAAAAGCACCGGCUAACUUCGUGCCAGCAGCCGCGGUAAUACGAAGGGUGCAAGCGUUGUUCGGAUUUACUGGGCGUAAAGCGUCCGUAGGUGGUUUGUUAAGUCAGGGGUGAAAUCCCAGGGCCCAACCCUGGAACUGCCUUUGAUACUGGCAAGCUGGAGCGCGAUAGAGGAAGAUGGAAUAUCUGGUGUAGGGGUGAAAUCCGUAGAUAUCAGAUAGAACACCAAUGGCGAAGGCAGUCUUCUGGAUCGUCGCUGACACUGAGGGACGAAAGCGUGGGUAGCAAACAGAAUUAGAUACUCUGGUAGUCCACGCCCUAAACGAUGCAUGCUUGUUGUUGGUUUCCUUCGGGGGAUCAGUGACGUAGCUAACGCGUUAAGCAUGCCGCCUGGGGACUACGAUCGCAAGAUUAAAACUUAAAGGAAUUGACGGGGACCCGCACAAGCAGUGGAGUAUGUUGUUUAAUUCGAUGCUACGCGAGAAACCUUACCGACCCUUGACAUCUUGGUCGCGACUUCCAGAGAUGGUUGUCUUCAAUUCGGUUGGACCAAAGACAGAUGCUGCAUGGCUGUCGUCAGCUCGUGUCGUGAGAUGUUAGGUUAAGUCCUGCAACGAGCGCAACCCACGCCCUAUGUUGCCAGCGGGUAAUGCCGGGAACUCUUAGGGGACUGCCCGCGUCAAGCGGGAGGAAGGUGUGGAUGACGUCAAGUCAUCAUGGUUCUUACGGGUCGGGCUACAAACGUACUACAAUGG
This 1203-nucleotide ribosomal RNA is filed under the name bovine gut metagenome. Its description in RNAcentral is "Bacterial small subunit ribosomal RNA". It matches the Rfam family "Bacterial small subunit ribosomal RNA", at positions 1 to 1233 of the family's 1533-position model. The record is from RNAcentral.